This 602-nucleotide ribosomal RNA is filed under the name uncultured fungus. RNAcentral's name for it is "eukaryotic LSU rRNA". It matches the Rfam family "Eukaryotic large subunit ribosomal RNA", at positions 23 to 641 of the family's 3401-position model. The record is from RNAcentral. Lineage: Eukaryota; Fungi.
ACCCGCUGAACUUAACAUAUCAAUAAGCGGAGGAAAAGAAACCAACAGGGAUUGCCUCAGUAACGGCGAGUGAAGCGGCAACAGCUCAAAUUUGAAAUCUGGCCUCACGGUCCGAGUUGUAAUUUGUAGAGGAUGUUUCGGGUACCGCCGCGGUGUAAAUUUCUUGGAACAGAAUGUCAGAGAGGGUGAGAAUCCCGUCUUCGACCGCGGUAGGGCCCAUGUGAAACUCCUUCGACGAGUCGAGUUGUUUGGGAAUGCAGCUCAAAAUGGGUGGUAAAUUUCAUCUAAAGCUAAAUAUUGGCCAGAGACCGAUAGCGCACAAGUAGAGUGAUCGAAAGAUGAAAAGCACUUUGAAAAGAGAGUUAGACAGUAUGUGAAAUUGUUGAAAGGGAAGCGCUGGCAACCAGACUCGAGCGCGGUGGUUCCCCCGGGCUUCUGCCCGGGUUAUUCCACCGUGACCGGGCCAUCAUCAGUUUUGGGGGUCGGUCAAAGGCGCCGGGAAUGUACCCACUCCUUCGGGGGUGGACUUAUAGCCCGGCGUGUCAUGCGACCUCCCGGGACUGAGGAACGCGCUUCGGCGAGGAUGAUGGCGUAAUGGUUGU